AUAUCAAUAAGCGGAGGAAAAGAAACCAACAGGGAUUACCUCAGUAACGGCGAGUGAAGCGGUAACAGCUCAAAUUUGAAAUCUGGCUCUUUCAGGGUCCGAGUUGUAAUUUGUAGAAGAUGCUUUGGGUGUGGUCCCGGUCUAAGUUCCUUGGAACAGGACGUCAUAGAGGGUGAGAAUCCCGUAUGUGACUGGGUGCCUUCGCCCGUGUAAAGCUCUUUCGACGAGUCGAGUUGUUUGGGAAUGCAGCUCAAAAUGGGUGGUAAAUUUCAUCUAAAGCUAAAUAUUGGCCAGAGACCGAUAGCGCACAAGUAGAGUGAUCGAAAGAUGAAAAGCACUUUGGAAAGAGAGUUAAACAGUACGUGAAAUUGUUGAAAGGGAAGCGCUUGCAACCAGACUUGCCCGCCGUCGAUCAUCCGGGGUUCUCCCCGGUGCACUCGGCGGCGAUCAGGCCAGCAUCGGUUUCGGUGGUGGGAUAAAGGCCUUGGGAAUGUAGCUUCUUUCGGGGAGUGUUAUAGCCCUCGGUGCAAUGCCGCCUACCGGGACCGAGGACCGCGCUUCGGCUAGGAUGCUGGCGUAAUGGUUGUAAGCGA
Molecule: ribosomal RNA, 593 nt
Filed under: uncultured fungus
Lineage: Eukaryota; Fungi
Description: eukaryotic LSU rRNA
Rfam family: Eukaryotic large subunit ribosomal RNA
Source: RNAcentral